AUCUAGUUGACGAGUCCCAAAUAGAACGAAAUAAGCGUCCUAGAU
Molecule: non-coding RNA, 45 nt
Filed under: Schistosoma mansoni
Lineage: Eukaryota; Metazoa; Platyhelminthes; Trematoda; Strigeidida; Schistosomatidae
Source: RNAcentral